Molecule: long non-coding RNA, 9054 nt
Organism: Manis pentadactyla (Chinese pangolin)
Lineage: Eukaryota; Metazoa; Chordata; Mammalia; Pholidota; Manidae
Exons: 4
Source: RefSeq, a predicted model, not a curated record
UAUGCCCAGCAUUUGUCUUGAGGUAUCUUUACCACUUGGAAGAAUUAUGAUACUCGGUAAAUUUGAUAUGAGGCAUGAAUUCUAUUUAAGGGUUGUAAUUAGGAAGGAAGAAGAAAAGCUAUAGAGGUAGCAGGCGGCAAAACAGUUAAUCUGUUUUUGUUGAAUAAAACUUUUAAUGUUCAAGCUUGGGCAUAUUUGUUAACACAAAUUUUUCAAGGCAGCACCUGAGCACCUCAGGCAAGGCCAAUCUCUCUGGCGGCUCUGGCUCUAAAUGUUGCACUUGUUUGCUUUUUUAAAAAAAACUUCAAAAAUUUGAAGUAUAAUUGGUUACUUUUUGUAUGACACAUAUUUGCGUAUUGUUUUUUUCCUAAUAAGCUAAAUUAGCCUUAAAACUAGAACUGGAUCAUUUGUUAAAAAUAAGAAAUUCUCAGGUAUAUCUGUGAUUUCAUAUUUUUAUAUAGAUCAAAAUGGCAAGUAGUUGUUAUAAAAUUUUAACUUUAAAAAUAAGUGAGUUGACAGUCAAAAGCAAUAUACAAUUUUUAACUGGAUCCUACACAGAAAACAAAAAUAAAACAUAAAGAAGAAAACAAAACGUACAUUUUGGGGACAUAUGUGGACAUUUCAAUAUGUACUCUAUUUUAGAUUAUAUUAUUGAAUUGAUAAUUAUAUUAGUUUUCUUGCUGCUGCUGUAACAAAAAAACCAUAAACUUGGUGACUUAAAAUGACACAAGUUUAUUCUCUGGAGGUCAGAAGUCUAAAAUGAAGGUGUUGGCAGGGUGGCAUUUUUUCUAGAGGUUUGAGGGGGGAAUGUUCCCUUAUCUUUCACAACAUCUAGAAGCUACAUUGCUUGUCUCAUGACCCCUUCCUUGCCUCAUUCCAACUCUUGCUUCUGUCUUGUCUUAUCCUAGUACUAACUCUCCGUCUGCUACCUCCCUUUGAUAAGGACCCUCAUGAUUACCUUGGGCCCACCCCAAUAAUCCCGAUGAUUUCCCCAUCUCAAGACUUCUAAUUACAUCUGCAAAAUCCUUGUUACCAUGUAAGGUAACAUAGUCACAGGUUCCAGGGAUUAGGAUGUGGACACAUCUGGAGGCUAUUAUAAUAAUGAUACUGUAAUUUUGUAGGAUAAUGUCCUUAUUCUCAGGAGAAACAUAAUGUGAAGUAUUUAGUGGUGAAAUAUCAUGGUAUCUGAAACUUUCAAAUAGCUCAGUAACCAAGGAGAGAGAAGUGUGUCAAACAGUGCUAGGUAUAUAGGUAUUUAUUAUAUUUUUCUUUCAGCUUUGUUGUGACUUUGAACUUUUGAAAGUGAAAAGUUGGAAGAAAGUAAACAGAUAUUAAUAAAUUCCAUGUCAUGUACAUGUGUUUUAGGUGUUUGUAUGGUACUUAAGUUUUCGUUUUUUAAAAGUUUCAUUAUUUUAUUAAACUACAAUCACCUUAUACCAGUGGUUUCCAUAUUUUUGGAUUCUUCAAUUAUUAAAAUUAGUCCAUUUCAAGACUAAAAACAGUAAGAAUGAUGGGCCUGAAAGAGAGGAAACUUCUCUAAAGUUGGAAGUCCAUUCAACUUUAUAGAAACCAUAACUGUUCUGUUAACUUUACUCUCCUUCCUGGGCCCAAAUAGAGAAAAUUUAAGGCUCAAAAUAGUUUGAGGGAAGGCUGGGCGGCUUCAGCCCAUCGGGACCAUGGUGCCCUCCUGUGGCAAUCUGGAGAAUUACUGCCAUCUGACUUCAUUUCGUCGGACUUGAGGCACAAUUCCCUCCUGUAUGGUCAUUUCAUUUCUGCAUGCCCAGCAUUGUCCUCAGCGCUUGGGAUAUCAGUAAAGAAAAAAAAAUUUUCCUCCUAGUGGAGCUUACGUUCAGGUGGAUAGACAAGACAAUAAACAAAGUCAUAAGCGCUAUGGAAAAGGAGCAGCACAGGGACCUCGGGGGCAGAGUACAGGGAGUGGCAGUGUAGGUUGCAACUUAAAAGAGAGUGUCCCGCAUUGAGAAGGGGACUUUUGUAUAGAGUUGAAAAGAGGCGAGAGAGUUAACCAUGCAGCCAGAUUUUGUGGGGUCAGGAGUUCUAUGAACAGAACCUCUCUCACUGGUCAGCCAAAAAGUCAGUACAAAAGCCCUAAGGCAAGAGCUUGUUUGUCAAUUUCCAGACCCACACAGGUAGUUCCUCUGGAGCCAGUAUGGAGAAAUAAGUAGCGGAUGAGUUCAGAAGGGGAGACUAAAUCACCUAGGAUCCUCCAGGCGACAGUAAGGGCUUUAGCUUUACUCUAAGUGAAAAGGAGAGCCUUGCGAGAUUUGGGGCAGAAUGUUAGAAUCUGAAGUUUAAAAGGACCACUCUGGCUGCUGUAUUGAAAAGGGAAUGAGCAGAAAGCAGAGUAAACCAGAGAAAAGAUGAUGGUGGCUCAGACCAGGUUAUUAGCAAUGCGGGUAGUGAGAUAUAGUUGAUUCUGGAUAUACUUGGAAGGUGGAGUCAGCAGACAGAAUGGAUACAGAGAUUAAAGAGACAUCAAGGAGAAUCCCAUUGUUCUGAGUGGCAGGAAGGAUGAGCUGCCACGAGCUGAGCGGGCUGAGAGCACAGGAUCAGGAGUUCAGUUUUGAACACAAUGAGGCGGAAAUAUGUUUAGCUAGAAAUACAAAUGUGAGAGUCAUUGGCAUAGAAGUGGUAUUUAAAGCUUGGAGACUGGAUGAGAUCACCAAGGUGUAAAAGUAGACAGAGAAGAGGCUCAAGGUCAGAGUCCUGUCGCACUCCAACUUGAAAGAAGCUGGGCUGUAAAGAAUCAGGGAAAGAGAAUGAGAGGAAGCAACCGGAGAGCUGCAGCUGAGGCCUUCGUUCGCGGGUUGCAUAGAUGCCCGGUCCUUAAGGAGCCAAACAACCAAGAGCGCUUCUCUGGGAUUCCCAGGGUUGGACAACAUCUUACAGGUUUGGGUCUGCUUGCACCCAGAGCCGCGGACGGGGCAGGCUGCGGACCCGCGCUAGCACCCUCGUGUCCUUUACCCUCAGGUCCCAUGGGGUAACACAGAUGGAUGCCUCCUUAUGCAGUGGAGUGCAUUACAAAGAGGCUUGAUCUCAGAGAACCAGAAUGUUAUAUAGUAGUCAACCACAGCUUCUGAAACCCUUGGGAUCUCCAGAGUUAUGAGUGUCCUUUGUAUGGUAAGUGAGAUAACUGGUGGCUGGGAGCCCCUAGAUGGCGUCAGGAUGGGGGCUGGUCACCAGAAAGACCAAGGCAUGAUCACAGUGUUGGAACUUUCAGCCCUACCCUUGACCUCUGGGGAGGAAGUGGAGAGUGAGCUAAUCACCAAUGAUCAAUGAUUUAUCAGUCACAGCUGCAUAGUGAAACCCACAAAAACCCUUAAGCCAUGGAGUUCAGAGCUUCUGCUCACACUGAGGUAUGGAAGGGUGGUAUGCCCAAAGCAGUCCCUCAACUCGUACCUUGCCUUGUACAUGACCCUCAGGCUGUCUCUGAGUUGUGUCCUUUAUAAUAAACUGGUAAUUGUAAGCAAAUGCUCUCCUGAGUUCUGUGCACUGUUCCAGCAAAUUAUCAAACCUGAAACAGAGGAGGGGUUGUGGGACUCCCCUGACUUUGUAGCUAUGUUGGACAGAAGUGUGGGUAAACCCGGGACCUGACACCUGUGACUGAAGCGAGGGCAGUCUGGUGGGACUGAGCCCUUAAACCUGUGCAGUCUGAAGCUAACUCUGGGUAGUGAGUGUCAGAAUUGAGCUGAACUGUAGGACAUCCAGUUAGUAUCUACAGAGAAUUGGAGAACUGCUUGAUGUGGAAAACUCCCUAACGCAUUUGGUGUCAGUAGUAUAAUGAACAAAAACACUCAAUAUUUUAGUGCCCAGGAGGGGGACUGAUCCAAAUUUCCUAGGUUACCAUUAUCAGAGAAAGGAGUCCUAUUUACCUGGCUAUUGCUACUUACUCUUCUAGACUCAGCUCCAAAAUUAACUUUCUGGAAGCUUUCUCUGGCCUGUUCUCCCCCUGCCUCCUCUGGGCCUCUCAGGAAUAGAGAUGUACUAGGUCUGUGGCCCUUUAGCCCCAUUUUCCCGCCAUGGAGUACUGGUGUCAUGCAGUAACAUUCUCUCUUCUAGUGCAUGAACUCCAGUGAACAUAACUUAGGCAUCCUCUCCUGCCCUACCCAGAGCCUCAAACCACUCCAGGCAUAUAAUGGAUGCUCCAUAAGUGUUGUUGAAAAGAACUGACUGAGUCCUGUAUUUCUGAGGCUAGAGACGCUCUGGUCAUGGCAGCCUGGGACUGUGCUUGGAAAUGCCCAGCCUGGUGGGACAUGAUCCCAGAGCAGGCUCUGCACUAGCCCCUAUGGCCCUUGUCCACACUGAGCUCUGGAACUAUUCCCAGCCCUGACUUCCACAUGCUGAGAGCCAGCACUGCCGCAGCUUCUUUCCUCCACCUCUCGUGGCCACUUUUGAGAGCGCUCUUUGAAGCCAGGAACUUAUACUUCUUGGUCAGCCCUGAAUGGACCCUGUGCCAUGAACGCCUGCCUCAUGUGAGCUGGGCAUGUGCAGAGGUGAAGGGAUGCAGCCCUGCCUCCGUGUGGGAGACAAGGGCACCUGGGCCAGCGGCCACUGAAAGGAACUGCACGGAUGUACUGACACAGAGAGUGGGUCUCUCCAGGAGACUGCUUUCAGCUCCUGGAAGCUUAACUCCAAACAAACACAUGCUGCCUAACAGCAAACAUGUGCUGGUGAUUUACAGCCUUGUCAGAAAACCUUCACUGACUAUCAUCAACAGAGCAGAGACCUGUUACCCAGGGGUGGAGGCUGGGGAGCAGCCAGCAGCCCCAUCCUGUGCCUCGUAUGCUGCACACUCUGCUUUCCUGCCUGGUACUGAACAUCAUCAGCCGCCAACUGCUCCAGGCUUCAGGAGUGCCCUCUGGCAGGAAGGAGAACCAGUUUGGGCUGAGUGUGUCUGUCUAAGGAAAGGCACCGCUAGGCUACCAUAGAGAGAAUCAGCCCACCUCCCCCAAAUUGCCUCUGUCUCCCCCAAAUAGCCUCUGUUCCAGAUCCUGCAGGGUCUCCCAGCCAUCUGGACUCCAGAGCCAUGGGGCACACCAGAAGGCCCAGUCCUGAAGCCCCCCCACAAAGCCGGUCUUGUCUCAGCCAGUUUUUCCCAGUCACAGAAUCAAAGAUUCACUCCCAGGCAGCAGGUCCUCAGGGACAUGUGGAACCCCUUUCAGUGCUCGGCACUCUGGGGAGAGGCUUUCCUGGGCAGCCCCUUUCCUCUCUGAACCAGCCUGAUUCAGAAACAGCUGCUUCAUUCAGACACACUUCCUAUGACCGUCCAGACACUGUUUGGGGCUUUCUCUUUCAUCUCUCAGGGUAGCCCUCCCAAUCCCAGCAGUCCCCUGCCCCAGCUUCCAGUUCAUCGGAUGUGGUUCUAAUUUGGAAUCACGGAGCCAGCAACAUUGUGGAGGGAAAGGGACCAGCAAGCCGAGGCUCCCUGGCUUCCCCCAAAUGCUCUCCUACCUGGAUACAAAUGCAGCCCCAGAUGCCUCCCACAGCUUGUGCCGGCUGGUGCCUGAGACUCCCAAGUCUUUCUCACUGGUCCUCUGGCUGUUUGGUUAUGAAACCUUUUCUCCCUUCUUCCUGAAUUAGUGUGGCUCAGUUUUGGGGUCUGAGUGGUUGGCUCCCCCUCAUAUUUGACACUCCUGGGCCUUGUCAAUUGCACUACUGUCUCCUGUGAGUGGCUUGGCUCUUCCCAGGUACAAGCUGGCAGCCCCUUACUGCCAGAAUACCCUGGGAAAAAUGCCUGCCUGUGCCUAAGAGAGCUCUUCCUGCAGUGAGAAAUGACUCAGUAAACAUUCAGGGUGACAAUGAAUGGGUGAAGAUAUUUUUAUGAAAUUUCCCUGACCACAAACAGCAUUCUCUGCCCACAAAAAAACCAAGCACUCCAGGAGACAAAUACCGGGCUCUCCCUAUUCACUUUACACCAAAUGCUUGAUCCUUCAUUGACGACGGACCUGCAACACUUGGUGCUCCUUGGAACAAUGCAGAUUUGUUCACUGAGUCAUUUCUGGUUCAGUUUUAAAAUUCACAGCUGUCACUGUUUACACCCAAAGCAGAAGAGCUAGCGCCCACCCAAAUGUGUCUGCAAGAACCACAGCUGGUGACAGCUCUAGACGCUGUGUGGCUUCCCAAGCAUAGCCGACUCAUUCAGGAAACAAGGGCAGCAGGAGACUGGUCUUUGGCGGCUCUGCCUGAAGCCUAUGGUUCUGACAGUGCCCAGCUGUUGUAAAUUGGAGCAGUCACUAAUUUAUCCAUUGAUUCAUUCAUUUAUCUAACAAAAUACUUAUUGAGCAUAUUCUGUGUGCUAGACCCCCAUGCUAGGGCAUCGAGGAGGACUCAGAUGCAAUCCCUGCCCUCAGGAUGACAGUCUAGUGCAGCAUAUGAGACAGUAAGGUCACUGGCAUUGCAACACAGUGUUAUAAGAGCCAUGGGAACACAAAGGAAGCCAGGUUGGUGUGAGGGCAUGUUGAGGGGGCUGGAGGACAGAGAGUCAGGAAAAGGCUUCCUUGGAGAAGGUGCCACGUGAGCUGACAAAGCUCUUGGGGGGAAGGGAGGGUCUGGAGUGAGGCAUGUGGUGAGUGCCAUGUUGGCUGGAGCAUGCCCCCCUUGUGGUCAGGCAAGCGGGCAGGACUGGCUGGGGCACGGGGUGUGGGGUCAUGGAGAGGUAGCUAAGCCUGUGGAGGCAGGCUAGCCCCAGCUUCUGAACACUUUCCCGGAAGAAUAGGAAAGUACAAUAGGAGCAGCUCCAACCACCCUCUAAAGAAAGUGUUUUCUUGGUCUUUCAUUUCAGAGAAAACUAAGACUCAGGUGAGUAGCUCGCCCAACAUCACAGAGCUAAUAAGUAGUGGAGUGACUGCUGGAUUUCAAAGCGCAUAUUCUUCACCACUCAGCUCUGAUCUACUACCUCCACUGUGGUGGAGGGCUAGGAAAACAGACUGGGUGUGGGCACCAUACUGGAGAGAUGAAGACCAAGAAAUGCAGGGACAUGAAUUAUGGCAGUGGAGACAAAACAGGAGUGAAGGUGAGGGGACAGAUUUGGGAGUUAGAGUUGACUGGUCUUGUUAGAAGUUGGUUGAAGGUAGGAAGGAGGAAGAGAUGACACAUUUCUGGCCUGGGAAUUAGGUGCUUUUCACUGAGAUUGGGGCUUGGCUGGAAUACCAGGAGCCGUAUUGUGAACAUGGUCAGUGACAUCCACGGGGAGAUGUUCAGAUGGUGAAUAGAACAGAGACCUGGAGCUUGGGAGAGUGGCCUGAGCUGUAGGGAUGCCACUCACCACUCUGCCUGCCACCCACAAAACAGGGAUAAUAAUAGUGCCCACCUCGUCAGCUUGUUAUGCGGAUUAAAAGUAUGGAGCUGGAGCAGCACCUAGCAUGGAGUAAAACUUCAUUGCUUCUAUUAAUGUAAGUGAUAAUUAAAACCACGGUAGUGGAUGAGGUACCACAGACAGGAAAGAGAGAAGAGAAGAGGACCUGGGACUGAAUCCUGAGGGACAAAGGGACUGAUACCUGAGGGACUGGUGGAAGAAUAGGAAAGUACAAGGACCGAGCAGCAGUUUCUGGAGAGAGAGAAGCCAGGUGAGUGCUGGGGCUGGGAAGAAGGGAUCAGAGGAUUCAGGGAGGGGGGUGCUAUCUGGGUGCUCAAGCAGUUGACAGUCAUGCUUGGUGAGGCUGCGGAACAGCUCUGCGGGGUCCAUGCUGGUUCAUGUGACAAAGGCUGAUCGGGCACGUGGCAGCCACAGUGCACAUGCUGACUGAAAGAGCGGUAAGCAAAACCUGUCAGUAGUGGGCCACUGACACUCGAUGGAAACUUCAGUGCAAGAGGAAAGAGUCCUCCUCUCCACAGGAGAACCACAGCACCCACAGCCUGUCAGCGCCAGAAGGAAGCUGGGUGAUCACCGGUCUGGUAGAUGAAGCAGCCCAGGACAAACGACUUGCCCAGGGAAUCACAGUGAAUAGGAGGCAGAGCUGUAGUAGCUGCCUUAGUAUUAUUUUGGCAGACGGGCCUUAGAAAUGGCACUUCACCUGGGAACUGUGGCCAUGCCCUGCAACCAUUUCCCAGGCACUCAGCUUGAGGAGCUUUUACAAUGCUUUGCUCCUCGGCCUUGGAAACCAGGGUCCCGUGCUUUCUCUUCACUUCCAGACAAGACUGCCACCUACUGGCGUGUGUGAGAAAUACGCUUCAGUGCCUGUAUCCCUACAGGUUGGCUUCCUUUUCCUGCAGGGAAGAGUAGGAACAGAUUCGGCAAGUUGCUGUUGUAGGAAAGAGACCAGGGUCAGGCAUCUUCCUGACCAAUUACAUUCUCUCUCUGAUUUCUGUACAUUUUGCCACCACUUUCACCACGUCCUGUUCAAAGCCCAAUGCUGAAACAUUAAAAACAUAUUUUAUGUACUAUUUUGUUUAAAAAAAAAAACAGACAACAAAAUAAUUGAUGUUAUGUGCUCUGGUGGUGUAUGCACUGCUGAAUCAGGAAUUGCUGCGGUGUGUCUUCCCUGAGUACCUGCUCGUCCUGGCAAAUCUCACCAAGUCCAGCUGGCCUGAGCGCUGACACUUGGAGCUGUUGCUGACAUCUGAGGCUAGCACGCUGCACUGGGUGUACAAGGUCAGACAGUACCAAAGCAGGGCAGAAACGGAGGUUUUGACAGCUAGGCAAACUGGUAGUUAGAAAUAAGUUCUUCCCAACGACUUUCUAUUUUAAAAAAACUCUGGAAGACUAUAUAGUAAAACAUAAACAUUGAAUAAAGUGUUGCAGUUGAAGUGCACAUAUCAUUUUGGGGAAAUAAUGUAUCUUUUAAAAAUAUUCAGCAGAUUUUUACGUGAAACUAUAGCAUCAGAGCCUUGUGAUUGUUGUUCAAUGAAGUGACAUGAGACAGGUGGCCUCUUUGGCCGCAGGAAAGGCUGGUUCUACUGUUCAUGUUAGCUCAGAAGAGGAAAACAAAGGCACAGGGUUCUAUGGGGCGAAGGCUGUUGUUUUAAAAAUGAGGUCUUGUAGUAUUUGCUUGACCCUGUGAAGGGCAUGAAGAUGAGAAAAAAUAAUUUAAAAAUGUU